RNAcentral lists this ribosomal RNA (400 nucleotides) under uncultured bacterium. RNAcentral describes it as "bacterial SSU rRNA". It matches the Rfam family "Bacterial small subunit ribosomal RNA", at positions 361 to 759 of the family's 1533-position model. The record is from RNAcentral.
AUUUAGAAUGGGCGAAGCCUGACCGCAAUGCCGCGUGCAGGAAGAAGGCCUUCGGGUUGUAAACUGCUUUUGUACGGAACGAAACGGCCUUUUCUAAUAAAGAGGGCUAAUGACGGUACCGUAAGAAUAAGCACCGGCUAACUACGUGCCAGCAGCCGCGGUAAUACGUAGGGUGCGAGCGUUAAUCGGAAUUACUGGGCGUAAAGCGUGCGCAGGCGGUUAUGUAAGACAGUUGUGAAAUCCCCGGGCUCAACCUGGGAAUUGCAUCUGUGACUGCAUAGCUAGAGUACGGUAGAGGGGGAUGGAAUUCCGCGUGUAGCAGUGAAAUGCGUAGAUAUGCGGAGGAACACCGAUGGCGAAGGCAAUCCCCUGGACCUGUACUGACGCUCAUGCACGAAAG